AGAAUUUAGCAGAGAUGCUUUAGUGCCUUCGGGAACUCUGAGACAGGUGCUGCAUGGCUGUCGUCAGCUCGUGUUGUGAAAUGUUGGGUUAAGUCCGCAACGAGCGCAACCCUUAUCCUUUGUUGCCAGCACGUAAUGGUGGGAAACUCAAAGGAGACUGCCGGUGAUAAACCGGAGGAAGGUGGGGAUGACGUCAAGUCAUCAUGGCCCUUACGAGUAGGGCUACACACGUGCUACAAUGGCGUAUACAAAGAGAAGCGACCUCGCGAGAGCAAGCGGACCUCAUAAAGUGCGUCGUAGUCCGGAUUGGAGUCUGCAACUCGACUCCAUGAGGUCGGAAUCGCUAGUAAUCGUAAAUCAGAAUGUUACGGUGAAUACGUUCCCGGGCCUUGUACACACCGCCCGUCACACCAUGGGAGUGGGUUGCAAAAGAAGUAGAUAGCUUAACCUUCGGGAGGGCGUUUACCACUUUGUGAUUCAUGACUGGGGUGAAGUCGUAACAAGGUAAGCGUAGUGCU
This 518-nucleotide ribosomal RNA is filed under the name uncultured bacterium. RNAcentral describes it as "bacterial SSU rRNA". It matches the Rfam family "Bacterial small subunit ribosomal RNA", at positions 992 to 1509 of the family's 1533-position model. The record is from RNAcentral.